RNAcentral lists this ribosomal RNA (207 nucleotides) under uncultured bacterium. RNAcentral describes it as "partial 16S ribosomal RNA". It matches the Rfam family "Bacterial small subunit ribosomal RNA", at positions 568 to 774 of the family's 1533-position model. The record is from RNAcentral.
UGCGUAGGCGGCUGAUUAAGUCGGAUGUGAAAUCCCUGAGCUUAACUUAGGAAUUGCAUUCGAUACUGGUCAGCUAGAGUAUGGGGGAGGAUGGUAGAAUUCCAGGUGUAGCGGUGAAAUGCGUAGAGAUCUGGAGGAAUACCGAUGGCGAAGGCAGCCAUCUGGCCUAAUACUGACGCUGAGGUACGAAAGCAUGGGGAGCAAACA